RNAcentral lists this long non-coding RNA (1373 nucleotides) under Homo sapiens (human). Its description in RNAcentral is "HSALNT0037584". Lineage: Eukaryota; Metazoa; Chordata; Mammalia; Primates; Hominidae. The record is from RNAcentral.
GUUUAGGCCGGAAAUGGUCUAGUUCUCAGAGGUGGUCCGAUCCCUAACCAGUCCCAGGCCCAGCCCCAGCCCAGCACCACCUGGAAGGUUCAAGUACAUGGAGGAGAGGAGGCUUGGCGUAGACCGCGCACUGGAAGGCGUGCGCGCAGGUGUGCGUGACCAUGUGCUUGAAACGGCAGUAGCGCAGCGAGAAGGAUCGCCAUCACACGGCGCACUGGUGCGGCUUCUCCCCCGAGUGGAUGAACAUGUGCUUGGUGUCGUUUUUCCUUGAGCUGAACGUCUUGCAACAGUGGCCGCACGCAUAGCUGCCCCAGAUCCCGGAAGAAAAUCUCUCCCACACCACUGUAGUCAGAGAGGCCAGUGGGUGCAUGGAACUCCUCGCACGCGCUGUCAGCAGCAGCAGUGAGGAAGCCGGCAGCACAGUCUGGGAAGGAAGGAGGUGCUUGGCUCUCUCCCGGGCCGCCACCUUCGCCGUCCUCGCCAUCGGUCUCAUCGUCAGUUUCCUCGUCAUCGUUGUCACCUCGGUCGUCAGGGGCCGCGGACAGUGAGGGGUAGGCACCAAGCCCCUCGGCUUUGGCAGCUGUCGCACCGUCUGCACAGGCACCACCGAAGGCACACGGAUCUCAGAGGGGCCGAGCAGCAGCUUGUCUUGGAAGGAGGGCGAGCCGAUUGCCAGCCCGCAGCGGUGCGCACGCAGCGAAGCUUCAUGAAUGCACACAGUCACGUCGCAGAAGUGCCCACCCAGCUUCUGCCCAUUGAGGGUCUCAAGCAGAGAGCGUGAGAAGUUCUGCAGAUGUAUGUGGCGCACAGCCUCUACAGCCGCCGACUCCGACUCCUCUUCAGGCACCAGGCCUGGCCGUGGCCGCCUUCUCACCGACUCCAAGGCAGCACUUCCGGGCGCUUCUCUUUAUUUUUAUACAGUUUUAUUGAGAUAUAAUUUACAUGCUAUCCAGCCCAUCUAUUUCAAGUGUACCAUGCAAGGGGUUUGUAUAUAUUCACAGAGUUGUGUAUCCAUCACCAUCGUUUUAGAACAUUCAUCACUCCAGAAGAAACUACGUACCCAUCAGCAGCCACUGCCCAUUUCCCUGAUCUGCCCCGCCCUAGGAAAUCCGUAAUCACUUUCAGUCUAUGGAUUUGCCUAUUCUAGACCAUUCAUAUAAAUGAAGUCACACAACACUGGGUCUUAUGUGACUGGCUUCUAUCAAAGUUUGCAAGGUUCAUUUAUGUUCAUGGUAUGUAUCAGUAGCUUGUUACUUUUUAUGUUUGACUUCUAUUCUGUUACUUACCUACACCGUAUUUUAUCUAUCUCUUCUGCAGUUUAUGGGAUUUAGGUCGUUUCCACGUUUUGGCUGUUCUAAAUAAUGCUGCUCUGA